GCCUGGGUGGCUCAGUCGGUUGAGCAUCCGACUUCAGCUCAGGUCAUGAUCUCGCAGUCUGAGUUCGAGCCCCAGGUCGGGCU
Felis catus (domestic cat) is the source of this 83-nucleotide transfer RNA. It matches the Rfam family "tRNA". Rfam says of the family: Transfer RNA (tRNA) molecules are approximately 80 nucleotides in length. Their secondary structure includes four short double-helical elements and three loops (D, anti-codon, and T loops). Further hydrogen bonds mediate the characteristic L-shaped molecular structure. tRNAs have two regions of fundamental functional importance: the anti-codon, which is responsible for specific mRNA codon recognition, and the 3' end, to which the tRNAs corresponding amino acid is attached (by aminoacyl-tRNA synthetases). tRNAs cope with the degeneracy of the genetic code in two manners: having more than one tRNA (with a specific anti-codon) for a particular amino acid; and 'wobble' base-pairing, i.e. permitting non-standard base-pairing at the 3rd anti-codon position. Lineage: Eukaryota; Metazoa; Chordata; Mammalia; Carnivora; Felidae. The record is from Rfam.